RNAcentral lists this unclassified non-coding RNA (210 nucleotides) under plant metagenome. RNAcentral describes it as "partial contains small subunit ribosomal RNA, internal transcribed spacer 1, and 5.8S ribosomal RNA". The record is from RNAcentral.
UCUCCGUUGGUGAACCAGCGGAGGGAUCAUUACUGGAAUCGCAAGAUCCCACAACCCCUGAGAACCUACCGAAACGUUGCCUCGGCGGGCGCCCGGCCCCGCGCCGGGCGCUGAGCCCGCCGGCGGCCCCCUACUCUUGUCUCUGCAGCGUGGCAUCUCAGAGCCCCAGAAAACAAGUAAAAACUUUCAACAACGGAUCUCUUGGCUCUA